CUUGUUUUAAGUCAAUAAUUUCUUUAAUAUUAAAAAAAAGUACUGGUUCCAUUGGCAGAUUAUUUCACUUACAACAUAGUUGUACAUGGUGAAAAGUUUCUUAGUUCACUUGAAAAGAGACAAAACCAAGAAACUAGACUGAAAAUACUUGGUGAGGUUUUGUGUUUUUGCAGUUGGGUUUUUAUUAGCUGUAAGCCAUAAUCAUCAAACCCAAUCUCACAAUAUGUGUCAGUGUUAACAAAUCUUCAUAACGAGUUUAGCUUUUCUUUUUAAUUGAAUUAACCAUGUUGGAUUAUAUUCCACUUUAUUCAGAUGUACCUUUGUUUUAUUGUUGCUUUGUUUCGUCCUUCUGUCUGUUGGAAAACUCAGAAAGUAACUUGGUGAAUCUGAGAUUGUCUCCUAGAGUCACGACAAAAAAAUAAUCAGGCUGUCUAAACAAAAGUAGAUUUUGAUUUUAAACAAAAAUAGAUUUUGUUUCAACAAAAUCUACAUGACCUCUGAGGAGCUGUAAAGCCACACACCUGCUGUAAGAGGGACAGUGAGGACUGGACUUUGUGAAACACUGGACGGACGAGAACUGGAACAAAGAGAAAAGUGCUAACUUUUUUUUUUUUUUUUUAGAGGGGAAGGGGGGAAGUUUAAUUUAUUUAUGGGUUUAAAACAAUUGGAGUUUGUAUUUAAAGAUUUACUGUUUGCUGCAACUAAAAAAUCAAUACACCGUCUAAGCUGUUACAAAGUGCCUUAAAAACUGGGAAGGCAGAGCUUUUUUUUUUUUUGUUUUUUGUAUUUUGGAAAGCUAAGAAGGACAUGCUUCUGAUUUAGUGUAAUUUAUUGAAGUGAUAAAGCAUUUUGUGAAGGAGAUACAAAUGAAACGUGAUUUUUAUUUUUUCCUGUAUAAAUCAGACGACAGCUGUGAGCUGGUUCGGCUGAACGGAGCGUCUCCGGUUCCGGUGUUCUGCUCUGCGAUUAUUAAAGAAAUCAAGAGUUUAAACUGCACAGAAACGACGUUUACAGACACUCUGGAACAACAACAACAACAAAAAAAUUAAAGUCUCAAUUUAUUCAGGUAGCCUGAUUGUCGCCAACAAGUUUUUCUAAGACACAACGAUGUGAUCGGAAGAAAAAUGCUUCAGAUUGUUCUUUUGAAGAAUUAAAACUAAACGUGUAAGCGUUCAGCCAUGUACAGGUACUUUUGUCACUGUAAAUUCUGCUCCAAUGAGUAUUGUAAAAAUGUUUAUAAACUAUAUGUAUUAAAGCCAACAUGCUGUUACCGGUAAAAGUAUUGAAAUAAGUUGUUUUUGCAACAAGCUGCUGAUGUUCAGUCCAUUUUAUGGAGACUAAUAGAGGCUUUUAUUCAUUUAAAUCAGAUGUGAGGGCUCAUAUCUACUCUAGGUAGCACUGCUGAUAGUUUUCAGUUUUAAAUCCAAUACAGAUUUAAGAAGAGGUCUCUCCUCUUUUCAUGUGAAAUAAUGUAGAAUUUUCUGCUCAGAUAUUUACGGUAAUAAAGUCCUCAUUCACCGUGGUCAAGCUUUUCCAACCGGUUUCGAUUUUACUACUUCUCUUCACCUCGUCCAUGCAGGGGCCACGUUUACAGUGCAGGUCAGAAGUUUACAGUCACAGCAUGUUAAUUCAAAUACUUUUUUUUUUCUUCCUUUGGGGUGCUUUAUUUGUUUACUCACAAAGGUGGGCUGAAUAAACAUUUUAAUAAGAAUCAAGUUUUCUUUUUCACUAGUCCACACAUGGUCAAAAUGAUUGAUUUCAUUUGCUAGUGCUAUCAAAAUGAAAUCAAACU
Long non-coding RNA from Poecilia latipinna (sailfin molly), 1792 nucleotides. RefSeq lists it as uncharacterized. The record is from RefSeq and is a predicted model, not a curated record. The transcript is spliced from 3 exons. Lineage: Eukaryota; Metazoa; Chordata; Actinopteri; Cyprinodontiformes; Poeciliidae.